This 269-nucleotide ribosomal RNA is filed under the name uncultured bacterium. Its description in RNAcentral is "partial 16S ribosomal RNA". It matches the Rfam family "Bacterial small subunit ribosomal RNA", at positions 86 to 353 of the family's 1533-position model. The record is from RNAcentral.
CGUAACUUAGUGGCGGACGGGUGAGUAACGCGUGGGAAACCUGCCCUGUACCGGGGGAUAACACUUAGAAAUAGGUGCUAAUACCGCAUAAGCGCACAGCUUCACAUGAAGCAGUGUGAAAAACUCCGGUGGUACAGGAUGGUCCCGCGUCUGAUUAGCCAGUUGGCAGGGUAACGGCCUACCAAAGCGACGAUCAGUAGCCGGCCUGAGAGGGUGACCGGCCACAUUGGGACUGAGACACGGCCCAAACUCCUACGGGAGGCAGCAUG